UAUGGAGUAGCCAUUCUUUUAUUCGAAUACUUUACUCUCCUAACAAACUUGCUUUCAUUUUACUCUACAGACUCACCCUGAAUUCUUUCUUGCACUUGCUCUAAGAACCCUCUCUUGGGGUCUGGAUCCGGACCGCUUUCUGCUAACACUUCUACAUACCACGUUUAUUUGAGACAGAAAAAUACAGCAAGGACAUCCAUCUAAACUUUGUCUGGAGUCUGGGCCCAGGGGAGCUGCAGUACAUGGAGGGUCUCUGGAAGUGGGUAUGGCAGAUUAGCGCCUAAGCUCAACUGGCUUUCCUCCUCUGCCUCUGUUCCUGGGACUUGCUCACGGCUCACAAGCAUUUCCCAGGGGAGUAAAAGGAAGGAUCAAAGCUACAAUGGGCUUGGCUGCCCUUCUCCAGGAAUGGCCAGAGGACAACUUCUGCUUGGUGAGCAGCCAUUUAUGCCACCCCGGUGCUGGCAGGUCACCUCUCCUGGGCUGGGGAGCAGGAGUUCAAUGAUUAACUAGAGGAGGCCAUCUCUGGAGGACAGAAAGAGUCUUCUGAUCUGGUUAGCCAUGCAGACCUGAGCCUGGAUUUUCCUUCCCACUCCACUUCAAGAGAGGGGUGGGUUCAUUUCCACAGUUCUCCUUCCUGCAGCAGGAAGGGAGAGUAGAAACCCAACUUCCCAGACACCAACUCCAUUUCCACACAAAGCAGUAGAGCCCAGACCUAAGGGUUCUGGAGCCACACAGACCUGGUUUGAGUCCUGGUUCCAUCACUUAUCUGUUCUGGGACAUUGGGCAAGUGCCUUAACCUUCCCGGGCUACAACUUAGUGGCGGAAAUCAGUGGAGUAAAACCUCAUUCAGAAAAUUUUUUCAAAACUGAUGUCAUCCUGGGAACAACUUGCAGAAUGCUAUUUUUCUUGCACUGAGCAAAAAGAGGUUAGUUACACUAGGUGUCAUCCCGGGGAAUCAGGUCUCAUCACAGGGCCCACACCAUCUGAGACCUUUUCAGAUCCUCUAAGAUGCUGAGACAAGAAGCCAUCUGGUCUUGGAGGGAAUGGAGAUGGUAAGAGCAUUGUCAAUGACAUGGAAGUCUGAGAAGUGUCCUAUUCAUGCCUUUGGAAAAGACUUCUCUGCCUGUCUGGUUUUUAUGCUCUCCCCACACUUUAGGAGAAAAUAAUGGUUUUGCUGACUUCAUCUGGUCACCUCUGCAAAUGCCCCCAACCCCUGUUAUUUUGUGUCUGCUGUGUACCAGAUUCUCUGCUAGACUGCCUACAUGCACUAUCUCAUUUCAUCUCCAUAACCAAACCAAUGGAGUAGGUAUUAUUAUCCCAUUUUAUACAUGAGAAAACUAAGAUUCAGAUAGAUUGAGUCAACUGCCCAAGGCAGUAAGUUAGAGCACCAUAAUUCAAACCUAACUCCGUGUAAUUCCACAGCCUAUUCCAUAGCCUGUGUUUUCUUCCCCUAGGAAAGUUCCUGGAUACUUCUGGAACAGAAUUCUCCUGGGGUGAGUGGUUCACACAACUGACCCACUUCAUCCCCACUCAGCAAAAUGAGAGCGCCGUUGACUGACAACAAAAUGCUGAACUGGAAACCUCCGCAGUAAAACGUGAUGCAGAACAGAGAAAGAACUAAGAUGUUCUGCACAGACGGUAUCAUGCCCUCUAUGAGGAAACUACUCGAGCAUAUCUGUGUUUCAAAUGAUGUCUUUGAACUAUUUAUGUUAAAUGCCCCCCCAAAAAAAUGGAAAGGCUUCUUCGUAGAGGAAAGAGCUUGAAGUUGCUAGGCUGUUCUGCCUUCAACAGGCAUUUAUUGUGCAGCUACAAAAUGCUGCACCAAGCACUGGGCAGUGGAAAGGUGAUUCAGACACAGUUCCUUUGACAAAACCUCAAAAUCCCAUGUGAAGUUCUCUUUUAUAAAGUAAAUCAGAAAAGAUUCAAAAGUUGAGGUACCAAAAAAAAAUAAUAUAAAUGCAAGUAGUAAAGCGCUAUUGACUGUAAAUAGAAGCACUUAAUAAGUGGUUGUUGUUUCUGUUCUUCUCUCUAAUAAGUGUAUACAGGUGGCUAAAUGCUUUUGUUGAGCUAUGAGUACCUCAUUCUGUGGAGUGACUCAGAAAGUCUCUAGGUGUUAGACUGGAAACAGGUGAUGUUCAGUGCACGCAAUGCUUGAAGUGUUCCCAGGUAUUUAGUUUCAGGUAAAUUUUACUGUUUAAAAAAAUUGUUUUUACUUGCUAUUAAGUGUGUUGACCUUGGAUAAUUUACUUAACCUCUCUAUGCCUUGCUUCCUUUUCUGCAAAAUGAGAGUAAGAAAAGUGCUUACCUCAUUGGCUUUUUGUGAAAUUCAAUGAGUUAACACGUGGGAGAAAAGAUGUUUUUAAAUAAUCAAUUCUUAGCAGUUGGUCAUUGUUAUGAGUUACAUCAUGCGUAGUUAAAUAUUUUUUAAAAAAUUAAAAUUUAUUUUCCUAUAGGAAAAAGGAGGGACUGAAUUGUGAAUCCAUUUUCUCUGCUUUCAGUUAUUUCUACUCCUGAGAAAAACCCUAAGCACUUAGGGUCUAGAACCACAUCCCGAGACGGUGAGCUCUUCCCACAUUUUCACAUGUGCCUGAAUCAUUUGUAGGUCUCGUUCAAGCAGAGAAUCUCCGGGAUUCUCACUCGGGAGGUCUGGGGUCGGGCCUGAGUCCUUGCAUUUCUAACAAACUCCCAGUUGAUGCUGGUGCCACUGGUUCUGAAUUAAGAUGCUUGUUUACCUAGUGACAGCAACAAAAAUUGUAGCAAUGGUAUCCAGAAAUAAACAGCAUACUUUUAUAGGGCUAGUCAAAUGAACCCAAACAUACAAAAUAAAGGCAAACCUCACAAUCUUCUUGCAAUGAUUUAUUACUCUGAGAGCUCAUUUUAGGUGAGAUUGUCUCCCUCCGGAGCCUGAUUCCUAAAAGCUUUCUAUGACUUUGAAAUUAUCGUUUUCCUUUUGGAGGUAGCACAAUAUAAGAGCUAAGAAGAGAAUGAGAACUGGAGUCCCUCCCAGGUUUGCCCCUCUAGGUAUGUAAGCUAAGGUAAACUACUUAGCCUUUCUUAAGCCUCAGUUUUCUCAUUACAAAUGGGCAUAUACGGAACAUUGGCUUGCCUCCUACAGUUGUUUGAGGACUCAAUGAAAAUGUACGUGAAGCUGGUUGCGGUGAGCUGAGAUUGUGCCACUGCACUCCAGCCUUGUGACACAGCGAGACUCCGUCUCAAAAAAAUAAAUAAAUAAAUAAAUAAAAAUAAAAGACUGG
RNAcentral lists this long non-coding RNA (3254 nucleotides) under Homo sapiens (human). RNAcentral describes it as "HSALNT0181019". The record is from RNAcentral. Lineage: Eukaryota; Metazoa; Chordata; Mammalia; Primates; Hominidae.